AACGAACGCUGGCGGCAUGCCUAACACAUGCAAGUCGAACGGGAUCCUGGUUUCGGCCAGGUGAGAGUGGCGGACGGGUGAGUAACGCGUGGGAACCUGCCCAGUGGUGGGGGAUAACUGCGGGAAACUGCAGCUAAUACCGCAUGAGCCCGCAAGGGGAAAGAUUGAUCGCCAUUGGAGGGGCCCGCGUUCGAUUAGGUAGUUGGUGAGGUAACGGCUCACCAAGCCUUCGAUCGAUAGCUGGUCUGAGAGGAUGAUCAGCCACACUGGGACUGAGAUACGGCCCAGACUCCUACGGGAGGCAGCAGUGGGGAAUAUUGGACAAUGGGGGCAACCCUGAUCCAGCAAUGCCGCGUGAGUGAUGAAGGCCUUC
Molecule: ribosomal RNA, 373 nt
Filed under: uncultured bacterium
Lineage: Bacteria
Description: bacterial SSU rRNA
Rfam family: Bacterial small subunit ribosomal RNA
Source: RNAcentral